UAAUACCAGCUCCUCGAGUGGUCGGGACGAUUAUUGGGCCUAAAGCAUCCGUAGCCGGUUUCGUAGGUCUCCUGUUAAAUUCAACCGCUUAACGGUUGGGCCGCAGGAGAUACCGCGAGACUAGGAGGCGAGAGAGGCGGACGGUACUCCGCAGGUAGGGGUAAAAUCCUUUGAUCUGCGGAAGACCACCAGAUUGUCUGCGGGUAUCUGCCGCAGGCAAGGUGAAUGGCGAAGGCGGUCCGCCAGAACGCGCUCGACGGUGAGGGAUGAAAGCUGGGGGAGCGAACCGGAUUAGAUACCCGGGUAGUCCCAGCCGUAAACGAUGCGAGCUAGAUGAUCCGAUCGCAGUUCGCGAUCGGAGUGUCGCAGGGAAGCCGUUAAGCUCGCCGCCUGGGGAGUACGGUCGCAAGGCUGAAACUUGAAGGAAU
This 428-nucleotide ribosomal RNA is filed under the name uncultured archaeon. RNAcentral describes it as "bacterial SSU rRNA". It matches the Rfam family "Archaeal small subunit ribosomal RNA", at positions 471 to 865 of the family's 1478-position model. The record is from RNAcentral.